This is a long non-coding RNA of Calliphora vicina (urban bluebottle blowfly), 270 nucleotides long. RefSeq lists it as uncharacterized. The record is from RefSeq and is a predicted model, not a curated record. The transcript is spliced from 2 exons. NCBI's taxonomy places the organism in Eukaryota, Metazoa, Arthropoda, Insecta, Diptera, Calliphoridae.
AUUCUGAUAAAUUUUAUAGCUGAAAUAAGUUGAAACAAUCUAGAAUAAAAAUAUGAAAUUACUGGCAUUCAUUUUAGUUGUCGGUUGCAUUGCUGCCAGUGUAAUGGGUGCUACAUCACAUACUCUGAGAGGGGUUAUUAACCAAUCUAACAUGGAUUUGCAUCAAUAAUAAAUGCCAUUAAUUUUUUUAUAUGUUAAAUGUACAAUUUAAUAAUUUUUUUAAAUUUAACUAAAAUAAAUUAAUGAAGAACGUAGCCAGCAAAAACAUAA